This 65-nucleotide transfer RNA is filed under the name Aeneator benthicolus. RNAcentral's name for it is "tRNA-Tyr". Lineage: Eukaryota; Metazoa; Mollusca; Gastropoda; Neogastropoda; Buccinidae. The record is from RNAcentral.
UUGUUGGGAAGAUUUAACUCCGUUAAUAGAUCUACAGUCUAUCGCUUCUACUCGGCCACCAAACA